GGACUAAACAAGAUGGCAGACGGCAGUUCCAAACAAAGGUAUCAAACCCUAGUGGUGAGGAAUUCAAGACCAAUUCUGAAUUGCUUAGGCAUGUAAAAAGGAAACAUCAAUCAGAGAAAUUGUCUUCGUUUGUGACCAGUGCAACACACGCUUUUGCUUCCUGAAUACACGAGGUGCAUACAUAUACCAUGGCAGCCGUUUUAUAUAUCCGUUUAUGUACAUUGUGAAACGAUUAUUUUUACGGUAUUAUGCUUUGUUUAAAGAGAUACUCCUAAUCUUUUACAAAUGUUGAUUUGUCAUUUCAUUGAACCAG
This is a long non-coding RNA of Ostrea edulis (European flat oyster), 313 nucleotides long. RefSeq lists it as uncharacterized. The transcript is spliced from 2 exons. The record is from RefSeq and is a predicted model, not a curated record. Lineage: Eukaryota; Metazoa; Mollusca; Bivalvia; Ostreida; Ostreidae.